This 439-nucleotide ribosomal RNA is filed under the name uncultured bacterium. RNAcentral's name for it is "partial 16S ribosomal RNA". It matches the Rfam family "Bacterial small subunit ribosomal RNA", at positions 338 to 795 of the family's 1533-position model. The record is from RNAcentral.
CCUACGGGAGGCAGCAGUGGGGGAUAUUGCACAAUGGGGGAAACCCUGAUGCAGCGAUGCCGCGUGAAUGAAGACGGCCUUCGGGUUGUAAAGUUCUGUCGCAGGGGACGAAAAUGACGGUACCCUGCAAGAAAGCUCCGGCUAACUACGUGCCAGCAGCCGCGGUAAUACGUAGGGAGCAAGCGUUGUCCGGAUUUAUUGGGUUUAAAGGGUGCGCAGGCGGAUUUUUAAGUCAGCGGUCAAAUCGUGGGGCUCAACCCCAUCCAGCCGUUGAAACUGGGGAUCUAGAGUGUGCGAGAGGUAUGCGGAAUGCGUGGUGUAGCGGUGAAAUGCAUAGAUAUCACGCAGAACCCCGAUUGCGAAGGCAGCAUACCGGUGCACAACUGACGCUCAGGCACGAAAGCGUGGGUAUCGAACAGGAUUAGAUACCCGAGUAGUC